GGGAAUAUAGUUUAAAUUGGUAAAACAUAUGUCUUGCACACAUAAAAUCAUCGGUUCGAAUCCGAUUAUUUCCA
Molecule: transfer RNA, 74 nt
Filed under: Pterocladiella capillacea
Lineage: Eukaryota; Rhodophyta; Florideophyceae; Gelidiales; Pterocladiaceae
Also listed under: 2 other names
Description: tRNA-Ala
Rfam family: tRNA
About the family: Transfer RNA (tRNA) molecules are approximately 80 nucleotides in length. Their secondary structure includes four short double-helical elements and three loops (D, anti-codon, and T loops).
Source: RNAcentral